UAUAUACAUAUACAUAUUUUCUGUUAACACUCUGCUUCUCACCCCUUCCUCCGCUGCAAACUCCGGCAGUUACUUCCUCUUCCCCACCCUUCACUCUCCUCUUUUUCUGGAAUCUUCUAGUACCCUUUAUAAGAGUGAUAUAAGAGUUUGAAAGAGUCGUGUAAAGAUGGCAAAUUCACCCAUACCUGGUAUCUUGGAGAAGAUGACGGGGAAGGAUAAAGAUUACCGAUAUAUGGCAACUUCUGACCUAUUGAAUGAAUUAAACAAGGAGGGGUUUAAACUGGAUAGCGACCUUGAGUUGAGAUUGUCUAAUAUUGUUCUACAGCAACUAGAUGAUGCAGCUGGUGAUGUGUCUGGAUUGGCUGUCAAAUGUCUUGCUCCCCUGGUGAAGAAAGUCCAUGAGGCACAGGUACUGGCGAUGACUGAUAAGCUAUGUGAUAAGUUACUCAACGGGAAAGAUCAGCAUCGUGAUAUUGCAAGCAUAGCUCUGAAGACAAUUUUCUCUGAAGUCCCUACCUCAUCUGUUGCACAAUCAGUUCUUAUUUCAGUUUCUCCGAAGUUAAUAGGAGGAAUAACAAGCCCGGCAAUGAAGACAGACAUAAAAUGUGAAUGUCUUGAUAUCUUAUGCGACAUACUGCAUAAGUUUGGGAAUCUGAUGACGUCAGAUCAUGAAGUCCUGUUAGGUGCGCUAUUGCCUCAAUUAAGCUCCAAUCAAGCUAGUGUUAGAAAGAAGACUGUAUCAUGUAUUGCUUCACUUGCCUCAAGCCUAUCAGAUGACUUGUUAGCAAAGGCCACAACUGAAGUUGUACGGCUUUUAAAGAAUAAAGGAACAAAGCCUGAGUUGACCCGUACAAAUAUUCAGAUGAUUGGGGCUUUAAGCCGUGCUGUGGGUUAUCGCUUUGGUCCACAUCUUGGAGAUACGGUUCCGAUUCUUAUUCAAUAUUGCAUGAAUGCAUCAGAAAAUGAUGAGGAGCUUCGUGAGUAUAGCUUGCAGGCACUGGAAAGCUUUCUACUUAGAUGCCCAAGGGACAUUUUCUCUUACUGUAAUCAAAUAUUACAUCUUUCUUUGGAAUAUCUUAGUUAUGAUCCAAAUUUCACUGAUAACAUGGAAGAGGAUACUGAUGACGAAGUCCAUGAUGAUGAAGAGGAUGAUGAUAGUGCCAACGAAUAUACAGAUGACGAAGAUGUUAGCUGGAAAGUUCGAAGAGCUGCUGCAAAGUGCCUAGCAGCACUAAUUGUUUCUCGUCCUGAGAUGCUCUCAAAUCUAUAUGUUGAGGCUUGUCCGAAGUUGAUUGAUAGGUUUAAAGAGAGAGAAGAAAAUGUCAAGAUGGAUGUUUUUAACACUUUCAUUGAGUUGCUACGUCAAACAGGAAAUGUCACGAAGGGGCAGAUUGACAUUGACAAGUUAAGCCCCAGAUGGUCAUUGAAGCAAGAAGUUCCCAAGAUAGUUAAAUCUAUUAAUAGGCAGCUGCGUGAAAAAUCUGUCAAGACAAAGAUUGGCGCCUUCUCUGUUCUGAAAGAACUUGUUGUUGUUUUGCCUGACUGCCUUGCUGACCACAUUGGAUCCCUAGUUACUGGAAUAGAGAAAGCACUUUGUGAAAAAUCCUCAACAUCAAACCUGAAGAUUGAAGCUCUUGUAUUUGCAAGAUUAGUAUUAUCAUCUCAUUCUCCAUCUGUUUUUCACCCAUACAUUAAGGCCAUCUCUGCUCCUGUUUUAUCUGCUGUUGGUGAACGUUAUUACAAAGUUACGGCUGAAGCAUUAAGAGUAUGUGGGGAACUUGUUCGAGUUGUGCGCCCAAACAUUAAGGCUCCUGAUUUUGAUUUUAAACCUUAUGUUCAUCCAAUAUAUAAUGCUAUCAUGUCACGUUUGACAAACCAAGAUCAAGACCAGGAGGUUAAAGAAUGUGCAAUCUCUUGUAUGGGACUUGUUGUUUCAACUUUUGGCGAUCACCUCACUUCGGAAUUACCUGCAUGCCUUCCUGUUCUCGUGGAUCGAAUGGGAAAUGAGAUAACCAGACUUACUGCUGUUAAGGCUUUUGCAGUUAUAGCUGCAUCUCCACUGCACUUAGACCUUUCAUGUGUACUAGAGCAUGUUAUUGUGGAGUUAACUGCAUUUUUACGGAAGGCUAAUCGAGCGCUAAGGCAGGCUACACUGGGUACUCUAAACACACUUAUCGUUGCUUAUGGUGAUAAAAUUGGUUCUGCCGCUUAUGGAGUUAUCAUUGUAGAACUUUCAACUUUGAUCAGUGAUUCAGACUUGCAUAUGACGGCUCUUGCUCUGGAACUCUGCUGUACCUUGAUGUCAGACAGAAGGUCUGCUCCAACUGUUGGUUCGACUGUCAGGAAUAAAGUUCUUCCCCAGGCCCUGGCUUUGGUCAAAAGUUCAUUGCUUCAAGGACACGCCCUCUCGGCUUUGCAAAACUUUUUUGCUACUCUUGUGUAUUCUGCAAACACUAGUUUUGAAGCUCUGCUGGAAUCUCUUCUUUCAACUGCUAAACCAUCUCCUCAAUCUGGCGGCAUUGCAAAACAAGCUUUGUUUUCCAUAGCACAAUGUGUUGCUGUACUUUGCCUUGCUGCAGGUGACCACAAAUGUUCAUCUACAGUAAAAAUGCUCACAGAAAUCUUGAAAGAUGAUAGCAGUAGUAAUUCGGCCAAGCAACACUUAGCAUUGCUAUGUUUGGGUGAAAUUGGGCGAAGAAAAGAUUUGAGCUCACAUGCACACAUAGAAAACAUAGUUAUUGAAUCCUUCCAGUCUCCAUUUGAAGAGAUAAAAUCUGCAGCCUCUUAUGCACUGGGCAAUAUUGCUGUUGGAAAUCUACCCAAGUACUUGCCAUUUAUCCUGAACCAGAUUGAUAAUCAACAGAAAAAACAAUAUUUGCUGCUCCAUUCUUUGAAAGAGGUGAUAGUAAGACAAUCUGUAGAUAAAGCAGAAUUUCAAGAUUCUAGUGUUGAAAAGAUACUCAACCUGCUAUUCAACCACUGUGAAAGUGAGGAAGAGGGUGUCCGGAAUGUGGUAGCAGAGUGUCUUGGAAAAAUUGCUUUGAUUAAGCCUUUAAAACUUGUUCCUGCUCUAAAGGAGCGAACAAGAAGCCCUGCUGCAUUCACCAGAGCAACAGUAGUGGUUGCUGUGAAAUAUUCUAUAGUUGAAAGACCAGAGAAGAUUGAUUCGGUCCUGUACCCAGAGAUUUCCUCGUUUCUCAUGCUUAUAAAGGAUCAGGACAGGCAUGUUAGACGUGCAGCUGUUUUGGCAUUGAGUAUAGCUGGUCAUAACAAGCCAAACCUCAUCAAGGGCCUUCUUCCAGAACUUUUGCCACUUCUUUAUGAUCAAACUGUUAUUAAGAAAGAACUGAUUAGAACAGUCGACCUUGGUCCUUUUAAGCAUACAGUUGAUGAUGGCCUUGAAUUGCGGAAGGCAGCUUUUGAGUGUGUAGAUACAUUACUAGACAACUGCCUUGAUCAGUUGAACCCUUCCUCUUUCAUUGUGCCGUACCUUAUUUCUGGUCUUGAUGAUCAUUAUGAUGUUAAGAUGCCUUGCCAUCUUAUCCUUUCAAAACUUGCCGACAAGUGUCCAUCGGCUGUAUUAGCAGUUUUAGAUUCAUUGGUGGACCCUCUUCAGAAAACUGUUAACUUCAAGCCCAAACAAGAUGCUGUAAAGCAAGAAGUUGAUCGCAAUGAAGACAUGAUCAGGAGUGCACUUAGAGCUAUUGCAUCUUUGAAUCGUAUAAGUGGAGGUGAUUGCAGCCACAAGUUCAAGAAUCUCAUGGCUGAAAUAGCGAAAUCAAAGCCCUUAUGGGAAAAGUAUUGUUCCAUCCGCAAUGAGUAAAGAUUGAUCUAAAUUCGAGAUAUGGGAGUGCAUACCCAGUGAGAUGGACAAAUUGAGAACGUCCCCCGGGCUUGAAUGAAUGUUAUAUGGAGUUGCAGAAUAUUAUGAUUGGGUGCAGCUUCUCACUUAUAGGGAUCAGUCAUCUUCCCCAAGAUCAUUAUAUUGGACACCCUGGGCUUCUUGUGAACUAUGGACCUAAUGUGGCUUGUAUUGUACAUAGGGUCCAGAGUCUACAUACUUCCUAUGGUUUUUGCUUGUACUUUAGUUAGAAUGUCUAUUUUUUCUGAAUCUUUUCUUACAUUACUUGUAACAUCAAGGUUAAUGGGUGGUUAAGGAGAAACAUCAUAUUCGUUGCCAUAGUUGUUUGCAGAUGCUACUAAUGUUUCGAGAUAAUAUUAUGGGAUGGAUCUUUGUUUUCA
Molecule: RNA transcript, 4242 nt
Organism: Erigeron canadensis
Lineage: Eukaryota; Viridiplantae; Streptophyta; Magnoliopsida; Asterales; Asteraceae
Gene name: cullin-associated NEDD8-dissociated protein 1
Exons: 29
Source: RefSeq, a predicted model, not a curated record